Molecule: RNA transcript, 5864 nt
Organism: Amaranthus tricolor (Joseph's coat)
Lineage: Eukaryota; Viridiplantae; Streptophyta; Magnoliopsida; Caryophyllales; Amaranthaceae
Gene name: putative disease resistance protein RGA1
Exons: 3
Source: RefSeq, a predicted model, not a curated record
AAUUGAGACCAAGAACAGCUCUAUUAAUCUACUCCUUUGUUUACCGUUCUUUAUUCACCAUUUCCAAACUCGUACCAUUUAUUUCUUUCUUGCUAUCUCUUUUUCCUAUGUUUUUCUAUCCCUUGAAAUCUGAUCAAUUAUGGAAGUCGCAGGAACAGCUUUGUCUGCUAUCCAAACUAUUCUUUCUGCAUUGCAAUCUCCUCAUCUUAAAAAAAUCAUUUCAAUCUAUGGCUAUGAAUCCAAACUUGAUGAACUUCAAAGCACCGUCAACAGCAUCAACAAUUUGCUUCGCAAAGCCCAGUCCGUGCAGGAGCUCCCAGAUGAUAUCCAAGGAUGGAUCGAGGAUCUUAAGGAUGUUGUUUUUGAAGCGGAGGAUUUGCUCGAUGAGUUUGUCACUCUCGCCGAGCAGAACAAGCACUUGAAGGCUGACGGUACAAUAUCCAAGAAGAUGAAGCGCUUCCUUUCUCGUUCUAACCCUUUUCUUGUUGCUUUCAAGAUGUCUAAAGGGGUGGACAAAAUAAGGAAGAAGUUGGAAGCUAUUGCUCACAACAAGCAGUUUAUCAUGGAGUUUAAUCAUGAGCCUAUCAAGUAUAGAAAGCCUGAGACUUGUUCGUAUGUGGAUGUUGCUGAAAUCAUUGGAAGAGAAGGCGACUUGGAGCAUAUUGUUGGUAGGUUGCUUGAUUCUGAUGUUCAAACUGAUGUUUCUUUCCUGUCUAUUGUGGGUAUGGGAGGAUUAGGCAAGACUGCUCUUGCACAGCUUGUGUACAGUGAUAAAAGAGUUGAAAGUGCAUUUAAUUUGAGACUGUGGCAUUGUGUCUCUGAUCAAGAUCAUAAACAGUUGAACAUUACUGGGAUUCUCGGAGCAAUUUUAGCUUUAUGUCCAAAUGAGAAAUUUACAGAUCAAUCCUCCUUGCAGAUUGUGCAAAGUCAACUUCAAAAGAAAUUAUCAGAUAAGAAAUACUUGCUUGUUUUAGAUGAUGUGUGGACUGAAAAUCGCAAUCAAUGGAUUGAACUAGUAAGUUUGUUGAAAGUAGGUCAAAAGGGGAGUUGGAUUGUGGUGACUACACGUUCACAAGUGACAGCAAACUUCAUGGGAUAUGAUUCAAUGUACCAGCUUCAAGGCUUGAAAAAGGAAGAUUCAUGGAGCUUGUUUGAGAAGGUAGCUUUUGGUUCAGAGCAGUGGAAUCAUCAUGAUGACUUGGUCGAAAUCGGGCAAAAGAUUGUUGAAGCAUGUGGUGGAGUUCCUCUUGCCAUAAGAGUGGCAGGAAGUCUUGUAUAUGGCCAAGACAAGAAGAAGUGGGAAGCAGUCCAGGAAGUGGGUGUGGCCAACAUGGGCAAUAAUGAUAUCACACAAAUAUUGAAGCUAAGUUAUCAUCAUCUUCCAUUCUCAUUGAAAAAUUGUUUUAGUUUUUGUGCCAUUUUCCCAAAGGAUUAUAGAAUGAAAAAGAACACAUUGAUAAACCUUUGGAUAGCACACAACUAUAUUGUUCCAUCACACAAAGGUCAGAGCAUUGAAGAUGCAGGUGAGGAACAUUUUCUAAUAUUGUUGAGAAGGUGUUUCUUCCAAGAUAUAGAAAAAGAUGUUGUUACAGGUGAGGUAGAUUCGAUUAAGAUUCACGAUCUUUUGCAUGACAUUGCUCAAGAUGUCUCGAGGAAGGAGAUUUUUGCAGGAAGUGACAACCUACAUAAAAAUAUUCGCCAUCUCUCACUAUUCAAGGAGGAAAUUAAUUAUGAAAUUUCUUCUUUGGAUAUACCGCGUUUACGUUCGUAUCUUGAUUAUCGGUAUUUUAGUUUUAGGCAUGAGGAUAAUUUUCUUGGGGAAAAAUUAAUAAAAAGUUGUAGGAACCUAAGGGCAUUAAGAUUAAAAAUUAAAGAUUUGUCAAGUUUAAAUUACGUAGGUGAAUUAUUCCAUCUACGAUAUUUAGAUCUCUCAUCAAACACGACAUUAGAAGUGCUCCCUAAAUCAAUAACAAAAUUAUGUAAUCUAGAAGUAUUAAUGUUAUAUGGUUGUGGCAAUUUAAAAGAGUUACCGGAAGAUUUGAGUAGGUUGAUCAAACUUAGGGUCUUAGAUAUUUCAGGUUGUUUUAUGUUGAAGUAUAUGCCCAAGGGUAUGGAUAAGUUGACAUGUCUUUAUAGACUGAGUGAUUUUAUAGUGGGUGGUAAGGAUUGUUAUUCAAGUUGGUCAGAAUGGUUUUUAGGAUUAGAAGAGUUGAAAGAUCUUAAAAACCUCCACGGUCCACUUAGAAUUAAAAUAAAGUUGCCUGAAAAUAUAAGUCAAGAUCAAAUCUGGGAGAGGAAAAGAUUUUAUUUGAGGGAUAAAAAACAUCUCAAUCACAUUUGUAUUGAUUUUUAUUUUGAUAAAAAACAUCUCAAAUGUAAGUCAAGAGUAUUGGAUAACGAGGGAGCAAUAAAAUUGAUGGAAGAUCUUCACCCACCUUCUAGUCUUCGCUUUUUUGAGAUGUAUAAUUAUGUUGGUAAGCAAAUGCCAGAGUGGAUAUCCCAUCUUCCAAACCUUUAUUUUCUUCAACUUAAUAGUUGUUACAAUUUGGAGUACCUUGAAUGCUUUGGAAAUGUAGACGAAAGGUCAAUCCUCCCUUCUCUUCAAAAACUUAGGUUAAAAAAUCUACCAAAGUUGAAAGGAUGGAGGAUAGGAGGGGUUGGGGUGGAAGAUAACAACAACUCAUUAUGUCUUCCUUCUUUGAAGAAAUUAUAUAUAAAACAUUGUGAGGAGCUGACGUGUUUUCCGGCGUGUCCCGGAUUGGAGGAAUUUUUUUUAAGCGAUUUCAAUACAAGAUUGAAUGGGAUAAUGAGAAGAACAGAAAGAGAUGAUGAAGAAUCAAGAGAAGUCAUUGUUUUAAAAUCUUCAAAAUUAAGAAAAGUGAAAAUUAAUGAUGUGGCAUGUCUGAAUUCACUACCUAUUCAGGCUCUUCAACGUCUUGAAACCCUAACAAUAUUUUGGGAUGAGAAAGAGGAGAACUUGGGAGAACUGUUCCGUGCUUGCUCUUCCUCUCUCCGAAUUCUGGAGAUUAAGUAUUGCCUCAAUUUAAGGAGUAUAGUGGCUGGAGAAUUGGAACAUCUCUCUGCUUUGGAGACAUUAUCUAUAUCAUCAUGUUUCAAUCUGAAAUUCUCGGAAGAAAAAGAAGAAAAUGACGGUGUUGGAUACAAUCCAUCCAUUCUUCCCUCUCUUCUUACCUUGUCGUUGAAUGAACUCCGAAAGAUGGAGCAUCUGCCAAACUGGAUGCAAUUCUUGCCUGCCCUCCAAACUCUUGAAAUAAAUAGUUGUUGUAAGCUGAAAGCAAUCCCGAAUUGGAUGCCCAAACUCACCUCUCUCAAGAAACUUUAUGUUUUUGAUUGUUUAAAAAGCCUGGAGAGAAGAUGUAAAGAAGAUCCACCAGGAGAAGACUGGCCUUACAUUCAACACAUCCCCAACAUUCAAUUUAUAAAUUGUUUUAAAGAGAAUUCUGAUGAAGAGUAUUCUGAUGAUGAGUAUUUGGAUGAAGAUUAUUGCGAACUUUACCAAAACUCUGGUUUGGUGAAAAAGGAACUUUACUGUUGGAAUGGUAUGUCUCACAUUGAUAAAUUAAAGAUGAUGUGCAUACUUUAUAAGUCAUUGAAAUCGUUCCUCCCAUAGCUAUGGUUUUGGAAUAGUAUCUCCUUGGUUUGUAAAGUGUGAGCAACUCGUGUUUUUCCGAUUACAUUGAAUAUACUUGUAUUCAUCACAAGAAGCCUGGCUAACAAGCAAAAAGUUCAUCAAUAUAAGUAACUAUUAAUGAUCAUCAAUAUUGUUACAUAAUUCACUAGUUAAUUACGUUUUUGAAUAUGCGAUUCGCUCAUAAUAGCCCAAAACGACAAUAAUUGGCUUUUCGCGAUUCGCGAGAAGAUUAGCGAAUCAUUUAAUACUGAUCAUCAAUAUAGCUCAACGUUGUAUAACUUAGUUUUAAAUGAGGGGCUCUCAAAAGUGGUCUAAUAUGAUACUCUUUUUUUUCGAUGCUACAAUGAACUAUCUGACUUUGGUCCCUAGAGUCUUCUUGCAUUGUAUAUGGCCUCUUUUGCAGAAAACAAAUUUGUAUACCUUCUUUCUAGUGCCACCAUCCUUCUUUGUAUUUAUACUGAACUUUCUCUAAUUUUUGCAGGUGCAAGUUGAAAUUCUACCCAAAACGAAGUCUCAAUUCAUAGCUUUUGUCUCGGGUAAUACUCAUAGCUUUCUUUCUUUGCACAUGCGCUCGUAUACCUUGAUAUGCUAGAUUGCUGGGCAUCGACCAACAAGUGUAGAAGGCGGCAAAAUCUUGCAUGAGUUUGCCAUGUUGAGAGAAAACUGUGAAGGGUCCCGAUCAAGGAGCUUGGCGCUACAAUAUUGUCCUACCUUGCUGCCGUUUCAAGCACCUAUACAGCUUCUCUUGAUUCAGAACAGCUUUGACUUGAAGAAACAAGGAGGUUUUCAUACUCAGUGCUGCUGUUUUCGAUCUCUUUGAUAGUUCGGUACCUGAAUAUUUGAUCUCACUGCCUUUCAUUAGUUUUUUCUUGCUCGUUAUGUUGAAGGAAAACCGUGGAAGGAACUUGAACAAGGAAUCGAAGACUACUGUAUUGUCCUACUUUGGAAGAACAUGAAACUGGAGUCGACUUAUUCAACUGCGUACAUUUGAUAUUACAUCAUCCAAGACAAUCAAGUAUUUCUUUCCCGCUAGCUGUUCACGAAGUUGGCUUUUCACCGAAUCCAUGGUGGAAUCAAUAUAAUUCUUGCCUAAAAUCUUGCCAAGAGUUUCUUUCACAUCUAGUUGUUUCUGAUCUUGAUCAGAAACACAGGUCCAUAACCUCAAUAGAAAUGCACUUACGAUCCUUGAAUCAUUAAAUACAAGUUGGGCAAGAGCAGUUUUGCUUAAUCCACCAAUUCCUACAAUUGUAAGGAAAGAAACAUCAUGCUGAACAUUAGAAUCAAGCAACAUACCAACAAUGCUCUCCAAUUCACCCUCCCUCCCAACGAUAUCCCCUGCAUCCACUGAAGAACAUGUUUCGGUUUUUAUCUUCCUGAUAGGCUGAGGAUCAAGCUUAAAGUGAAAGUGAUACUACAAGCAAUAACAUCCAACUUCUUCUUGAUAUUCACAACCCCUUUAGACAUUCUAUAAGUACAUGAUCAUGUUGUAGAUUAAAAUUCGAAAAGAAGUAGCGCACCUUUUCAGAGAGUCUAUGACAAGAUUUCAGGAGCUUCUUUUGCUUAGCAAGAGUCGAAAACUCGUCCAACAGAUCAUCAACUUCGAAAACAGCAUCCUUCAGCUCCUCAAUCAAAUUCUGUGCUUGAUCAGAAAGAUCCUGCUUGGCCUCGGCAUCACAGAGAACAUCAUUGAUGGUGAUGAUGGUAUUUUGUAGGUAUCAAGGUUGAUUUGUAGCCAGAAAUUGUGAGAAUUUCUUGCAAGUCUGGACAUUACACUGCUGCAAGCAGAGUUUGAUUAACAGUUCCCAAAUUCAUGUUCAGUUUCAAUGACAGAAAAUCUUGUACAAGGGUGUGAAACUGAGUUUGGUUUUGGUUAAUGUACGCCUAGCUCAAUUUUUACUUGUUUAUAUCUUGUAGUAUAUCCGACAUCUCAAACCCAGUUUAGGUGGGAGUUGAAUAAACUAAGCAAUAAAGAAGGCUAUACAAUGAGACCCUUGGCAUACUAAACAAUGACCUAAAACUAUAGUGUUUAUAGGGAAUGAUUAGGCAUGAUAUGAUACAAAGUAGGGAAGCAUCUCAACAUAGGCAGAAAAUGAACAGAUGCCUCACUGCAAGCCUGCUCGUUCGAGCAUGAUGGCUGCUUGUUUCGUGCGACUGAACCGCGGUGGGCUCGAACGUUUCCUGCGACUGGCCCUUUUUUUUAAUUUUUUUUUUC